RNAcentral lists this long non-coding RNA (1319 nucleotides) under Callithrix jacchus (white-tufted-ear marmoset). RNAcentral's name for it is "lncRNA (ENSCJAG00000079140.1)". The record is from RNAcentral. Lineage: Eukaryota; Metazoa; Chordata; Mammalia; Primates; Cebidae.
GCUGCAAGUUGCAUCUGGAGCCAUCAGUCCCCUCCUUCCUUCAGUUCUGAAGCUGUGUCUGAUUCACUGUGACAGCCCCUCUCCCAUGAGUCCCAUCAUCCCUCCCUGCAUCUCACUUCUGUUGGGAAUUCCCAAAGCAGAAGGAGGUUCUUUGCUGCUUCCCUUUUCAGAAACUUGGAGACCAUAUAUCUUUGCAAAGUAGAUUUUUAAAAAUAAAACAAAGAAGAAAAGAUUAAACCAGAGAAGCUCCCAAGUUUUCUGCCUUCUGCCUGGACCAGCUUCCUGUGCUUCUUCCUUUCCAAAAUUGAUGUGGUAAAUGUUAUUGCAGUAGCCCUGGCUCACAAAAGCCCAGGCCUUCCAAGAAUGCAACCUUCAUGGAGAAAUUCUGCGACUCGUUCUCCUCUGUGGAGGCUGGAGAGUUAAGAUGUAGAAGGAGAGAGACAAAGAGACAAGGAGAAAUUUGCUUUAUUAGUGGCUUUCAAGAGAAUGAGGCCAGAAGACAGAGUCCUGGACCUUAUCCACUUCAUCAUGAGAUGACAAUGCAAGAAGUCCCUUCCCAGGUGCUGGCAUCUUGAUCCUGGACUUCCCAGCCUCCAGAACUGUGAGAAACAAAUUUCUGUUUAUUAUAAAUUACCAUGUCUAUAGUAUUCUGUUAUAGCAGCACAAAGUGGACUAAGACAUCAUUCAAAAAAAUUUUAAGUACCUACUGAUGAUAGGGAGUGUGCUUAGGAAAUACAAACAUGAAUAUAACAUAGCUCCUCCUGUCACAGAAUUUACAGAUCAGGGGAGAAAAUAGACACGUUUUCCUACGAGAUAACUGAUGACAGUGUAUUUUUGUUAGUAGCAAUUGCUAUAGCAAAUUCUAAGAGAAAUAGCUUUGCUAAUCUGGAUUCACAGAAAACUAACGUGUGCAAAACAUCAGAUAAUGAUUCUGUCAUAGUCCACCUGACUUCCCUUUUGUACUGGUUACUGGGAAGGUCAGAACUGAAGGUGAGGUUCAACUCUAGUUGUUUUUAAUGUCUCCUCUCUUUUUCUCCAACAUGAUUUUCCAUUUUCUAGUUCUAAUGUUAAAUUCAAACUGCAAAAGGCAUUGUAUUUGGCAUAAGUUGGGGUAAUAUCAUGAAUAAAAUGUGUGCUAUUUAGAUCAAUACAAAUGGAAAGUACAGUUGUAGAUCAAUUAGAAUCGUCCCAUUCUUGUUUUUGUGCUUGGGACGGCACCUGCUGAGAACACGUCUUUACUACAACCACUAUUACAACUACCACUGUUUAUGCUACUGCUAGUAAUAACCACAGCAGAAUGUCUGAGCCUAGUAUACCAG